CACCAAGUUUAUAUUUUUAUGUCAAUCUUCUUGCACUGCAAAAGCUUGACAUGAUGCUCAAAUGAAAUAUUAAAUGUUUUUGAAGAUAUUGAAUUAGGAGCAUUAUGGAGAAUUCCCUUUGUUCGAACUCAUUUCAUGUGUUCCUCCAAGUGGCCCCUUUGAGAAGGGAAUGACACACAUGGAGUGGUUCGAAGAUACUAAAUGUAUGCAUUGGAAAUGGGAGAACUAAGUUUAUGUU
Long non-coding RNA from Quercus robur (English oak), 238 nucleotides. RefSeq lists it as uncharacterized. The transcript has 2 exons. The record is from RefSeq and is a predicted model, not a curated record. NCBI's taxonomy places the organism in Eukaryota, Viridiplantae, Streptophyta, Magnoliopsida, Fagales, Fagaceae.